AGCACGUGAUGGUGGGGACUCAUAGGAGACUGCCGGGGUCAACUCGGAGGAAGGUGGGGAUGACGUCAAAUCAUCAUGCCCCUUAUGUCUUGGGCUUCACGCAUGCUACAAUGGCCGGUACAAAGGGCUGCGAUACCGCGAGGUGGAGCGAAUCCCAAAAAACCGGUCUCAGUUCGGAUUGGGGUCUGCAACUCGACCCCAUGAAGUCGGAGUCGCUAGUAAUCGCAGAUCAGCAACGCUGCGGUGAAUACGUUCCCGGGCCUUGUACACACCGCCCGUCAAGUCACGAAAGUCGGUAACACCCGAAGCCGGUGGCCCAACUCUUUGAGAGGGAGCCGUCGAAGGUGGGACUGGCGAUUGGGACUAAGUCGUAACAAGGUAGCCGUACCGGAAGGUGCGGCUGGAUCACCUCCUUUCUAAGGAG
This 424-nucleotide ribosomal RNA is filed under the name Salmonella enterica subsp. enterica serovar Saintpaul. RNAcentral describes it as "bacterial SSU rRNA". It matches the Rfam family "Bacterial small subunit ribosomal RNA", at positions 1120 to 1533 of the family's 1533-position model. The record is from RNAcentral. Lineage: Bacteria; Pseudomonadati; Pseudomonadota; Gammaproteobacteria; Enterobacterales; Enterobacteriaceae.